AUUGAACGCUGGCGGCAUGCUUUACACAUGCAAGUCGAGCGGCAGCGCGGGGGCAACCCUGGCGGCGAGCGGCGAACGGGUGAGUAAUGCAUCGGAACGUAUCCUCGAGUGGGGGAUAACCCAGCGAAAGUUGGGCUAAUACCGCAUGAGCUCUGAGGAGGAAAGCGGGGGACCUGCGAGGGCCUCGCGCUGGAGGAGCGGCCGAUGUCCGAUUAGCUAGUUGGUGGGGUAAAGGCUUACCAAGGCGACGAUCGGUAGCUGGUCUGAGAGGAUGAUCAGCCACACUGGGACUGAGACACGGCCCAGACUCCUACGGGAGGCAGCAGUGGGGAAUUUUGGACAAUGAGGGCAACCCUGAUCCAGCCAUGCCGCGUGAGUGAAGAAGGCCUUCGGGUUGUAAAGCUCUUUCGGACGGAACGAAAUGGGCGGGACUAAUACUCCUGUCUGAUGACGGUACCGGAAGAAGAAGCACCGGCUAACUACGUG
This 486-nucleotide ribosomal RNA is filed under the name uncultured bacterium. RNAcentral's name for it is "partial 16S ribosomal RNA". It matches the Rfam family "Bacterial small subunit ribosomal RNA", at positions 29 to 507 of the family's 1533-position model. The record is from RNAcentral.